GGCUCAGAUUGAACGCUGGCGGCAGGCCUAACACAUGCAAGUCGAGCGGUAGCACAGAGAGCUUGCUCUCGGGUGACGAGCGGCGGACGGGUGAGUAAUGUCUGGGAAACUGCCUGAUGGAGGGGGAUAACUACUGGAAACGGUAGCUAAUACCGCAUAACGUCGCAAGACCAAAGUGGGGGACCUUCGGGCCUCAUGCCAUCAGAUGUGCCCAGAUGGGAUUAGCUAGUAGGUGGGGUAAUGGCUCACCUAGGCGACGAUCCCUAGCUGGUCUGAGAGGAUGACCAGCCACACUGGAACUGAGACACGGUCCAGACUCCUACGGGAGGCAGCAGUGGGGAAUAUUGCACAAUGGGCGCAAGCCUGAUGCAGCCAUGCCGCGUGUAUGAAGAAGGCCUUCGGGUUGUAAAGUACUUUCAGCGAGGAGGAAGGCGUUAAGGUUAAUAACCUUGGUGAUUGACGUUACUCGCAGAAGAAGCACCGGCUAACUCCGUGCCAGCAGCCGCGGUAAUACGGAGGGUGCAAGCGUUAAUCGGAAUUACUGGGCGUAAAGCGCACGCAGGCGGUCUGUCAAGUCGGAUGUGAAAUCCCCGGGCUCAACCUGGGAACUGCAUUCGAAACUGGCAGGCUAGAGUCUUGUAGAGGGGGGUAGAAUUCCAGGUGUAGCGGUGAAAUGCGUAGAGAUCUGGAGGAAUACCGGUGGCGAAGGCGGCCCCCUGGACAAAGACUGACGCUCAGGUGCGAAAGCGUGGGGAGCAAACAGGAUUAGAUACCCUGGUAGUCCACGCCGUAAACGAUGUCGACUUGGAGGUUGUGCCCUUGAGGCGUGGCUUCCGGAGCUAACGCGUUAAGUCGACCGCCUGGGGAGUACGGCCGCAAGGUUAAAACUCAAAUGAAUUGACGGGGGCCCGCACAAGCGGUGGAGCAUGUGGUUUAAUUCGAUGCAACGCGAAGAACCUUACCUACUCUUGACAUCCAGAGAACUUAGCAGAGAUGCUUUGGUGCCUUCGGGAACUCUGAGACAGGUGCUGCAUGGCUGUCGUCAGCUCGUGUUGUGAAAUGUUGGGUUAAGUCCCGCAACGAGCGCAACCCUUAUCCUUUGUUGCCAGCGGUCCGGCCGGGAACUCAAAGGAGACUGCCAGUGAUAAACUGGAGGAAGGUGGGGAUGACGUCAAGUCAUCAUGGCCCUUACGAGUAGGGCUACACACGUGCUACAAUGGCAUAUACAAAGAGAAGCGACCUCGCGAGAGCAAGCGGACCUCAUAAAGUAUGUCGUAGUCCGGAUUGGAGUCUGCAACUCGACUCCAUGAAGUCGGAAUCGCUAGUAAUCGUAGAUCAGAAUGCUACGGUGAAUACGUUCCCGGGCCUUGUACACACCGCCCGUCACACCAUGGGAGUGGGUUGCA
This 1406-nucleotide ribosomal RNA is filed under the name Kluyvera sp. ES392. Its description in RNAcentral is "16S ribosomal RNA". It matches the Rfam family "Bacterial small subunit ribosomal RNA". The record is from RNAcentral. Lineage: Bacteria; Pseudomonadati; Pseudomonadota; Gammaproteobacteria; Enterobacterales; Enterobacteriaceae.